AUACGUAGGGGGCGAGCGUUGUCCGGAAUGAUUGGGCGUAAAGGGCGCGUAGGCGGCCCGGUAAGUCUGGAGUGAAAGUCCUGCUUUUAAGGUGGGAAUUGCUUUGGAUACUGUCGGGCUUGAGUGCAGGAGAGGUAAGUGGAAUUCCCAGUGUAGCGGUGAAAUGCGUAGAGAUUGGGAGGAACACCAGUGGCGAAGGCGACUUACUGGACUGUAACUGACGCUGAGGCGCGAAAGUGUGGGGAGCAAACAGGAUUAGAUACCCUGGUAGUCCACACUGUAAACGAUGAAUGCUAGGUGUAGGGGGUAUCGACCCCUUCUGUGCCGCAGUUAACACAAUAAGCAUUCCGCCUGGGGAGUACGGCCGCAAGGUUGAAACUCAAAGGAAUUGGCGG
This 395-nucleotide ribosomal RNA is filed under the name uncultured bacterium. RNAcentral's name for it is "partial 16S ribosomal RNA". It matches the Rfam family "Bacterial small subunit ribosomal RNA", at positions 523 to 916 of the family's 1533-position model. The record is from RNAcentral.